Molecule: long non-coding RNA, 103 nt
Organism: Trachymyrmex septentrionalis
Lineage: Eukaryota; Metazoa; Arthropoda; Insecta; Hymenoptera; Formicidae
Exons: 3
Source: RefSeq, a predicted model, not a curated record
CCAAACAAUACAAAUAAAAAUCUAAAAUUGUGACAUAAGAAGUCUUUAAGUCAUCUUUUAGACGCAUAAAACGUCUUAUGACUCGAUUUCAAACACUUUUUGU